Long non-coding RNA from Phacochoerus africanus (Common warthog), 377 nucleotides. RefSeq lists it as uncharacterized. The record is from RefSeq and is a predicted model, not a curated record. Lineage: Eukaryota; Metazoa; Chordata; Mammalia; Artiodactyla; Suidae. The transcript has 2 exons.
CAAAUGUGGGGAGGGGAGAGAAAACAGGAGACAAAAAAACAUAAUGAAGAAGCAAAUUAUAUUGUACACCGAAUGAUAGGAUGGACAUAUGACUAACUUCUCCCACGGUAGGAGUCGUUGGAGGAACUUCUGGAAAUGCUGCCCCCAAAGAAAGACUUCCCUUUUCCUCUUUUUUUUCUGCUCCAGACACAGAUGUGAUAGCUGGCAUUGCAUUAGCCAUCUUAUGAUGGUGAAGCAAUUUGUACAAAGGAUGAUUGAGCAUAAACAAUGAAGGCCCCUGGGACAUUGAUAAUAUCAGGAAGUCCCCAUACAAGUCCAAGACUCUGUACUUGUUUCACAUUAGUGAAAAUAAACUUUAUCUUAUUUAAGCCACUGUA